UGCCCAGCAUCUCCUACCCCUACCUUCUCGCGGUACUGGCCGGGGUACGAGCAACCUUGGUGAUGAUCGGGUUACCAACUGCGGUGGG
RNAcentral lists this ribozyme (88 nucleotides) under Aedes aegypti (yellow fever mosquito). RNAcentral describes it as "drz-agam-1 ribozyme". It matches the Rfam family "drz-agam-1 ribozyme". Lineage: Eukaryota; Metazoa; Arthropoda; Insecta; Diptera; Culicidae. The record is from Rfam by way of RNAcentral.